CAAGGCUUUCACCCAACCACAGAAUCUCCUUGUAUUGGCUCCCACUGCCAAGGCGUCUUCUUACCUGGUAAUCUUUCGACCCAACCAGGAUUGAACUAGGUAAGAGUUUCUUGUUCUGAUGUUCUGAUCCGUCUAGAUUUUUUAAAAGUAGUUCUGCUAGUUGUCGCUCAUACUUUGAUGAGCAUGAGAUCUUUUUUUCCCUGAUUUUGUUAAGGAGAAUCCACCUAUCCUCUUUCCAAACCGAGGCAAAACGUUCACACAAUUCCUGAGUAAUGAGGUGCUGCUUGCCAAAUCUCCAUUGAAAUAGCUGUGGAUCUCUCCAUUGCUUCUGAUAUUUGUUGGAAUACAGAAGCCUCUUCUUCUGUACCUCAUCCUGAUCCCACCCUGAAAAUUCUCCGACGGUUUCGAUUGCUUCGAUAACGAUUGUAAUGUAGGUAAGUAAAUUGUGGAUAUAAAACUGGACACAAUCUGUAUUCUGAGAAAGAACAAUGGCUUUUGCACACCAGUCCUUGGUUUCCAAGCAUUGCUUGAUGUAGCCUUCUCCUUCUUUGAAUAUUCUAUAAAUCUCACGCAAUGGUUGUUCUAGUAGUCUCCAUUUGGUGUGUUUCUCCUCAAAUUUCAGAUUCUGCUUCAUCUCUUCUGCAAUUGAAUCAUAUGCAGAGUUGAACAUAUCAAGCAACAAGCAGCAUUGCCGUUGAUUGAUUUCGAUAUUGUCACGAAAUACCAUCACUGCCUUCAAACUUCC
This 745-nucleotide long non-coding RNA is filed under the name Manihot esculenta (cassava). RNAcentral's name for it is "long non-coding RNA (MESC_LNC000671)". Lineage: Eukaryota; Viridiplantae; Streptophyta; Magnoliopsida; Malpighiales; Euphorbiaceae. The record is from RNAcentral.